Molecule: long non-coding RNA, 4073 nt
Organism: Diabrotica virgifera virgifera (western corn rootworm)
Lineage: Eukaryota; Metazoa; Arthropoda; Insecta; Coleoptera; Chrysomelidae
Exons: 2
Source: RefSeq, a predicted model, not a curated record
UAUUUACAUGUAAACAAAAUAAUCCUAAUUACUUGUAAAAGUAAGGUUAUAAAUUUAACAGAACUCUCUUUUAAAAGUAAAGUGACAUUGGUGGCGUUCAGCGGCGAAUGAGCAUAAAGUGAUCUGGUAGGAUCACAUCUCGCUCCUUCACGCUGAACGACCUUUGCGUUGUGCGCUACAUCAGAGUUGCCAGAUGAAAUUUCAGAAUAUCCCUAGACGGGAGCUUCAAUUUCCCCUAGAAAUCCCUAAAUCGUAUUAAUUUGACCUAAAAAAGAAGAAAUUGACAGAAGACAGCUGUCAAUUUAAUUUAUAACCUAUUAAACACUAUGUUUAAUCCACUUUAAUCAUUGAUUAGGUAAUGUUUUAAUGUUUACUUAGGAAUAUUUAUGUCAGGGAACAAUAAAUAAUGACAAUAAUAACAAUAUUUGAACAAAAGGAUAUUUAAUAACAACAAAAAAUGGCGCUAGCACAGUUGAAUAAAUCCCUAGAUUUCAAAAAAAAUCCCUCCAGAGCUCCAAAAGCUUCAAAAAAUCCCUAGAUUCGGGGAAAAUCCCUAGACAUGGUAACCCUGCGCUACAUCGAAAUUCGAUUCAUUCGAUUCGAAAAUGUAGCGGAGCGGUCGUCAUCUUUUGGAGCACAUUUUGAGUGUAAUAUUUUGAGUGUAGCAUAAAAUGACGCAUGCGUAAAAGCAAUAAACAGGUACUUUUGGCACAGUUUUGGUUCCUAUUUUGAGUGAACCAGAUUUAUAAAGGUAUCUAUUGUAUAAUAUAAUGUUACCUGGUAGAAAAUAAAACAGUAGCUAGAUGAUAUCUGAUAAUUAAUUAAACUAAAAAGGGGUAUUUCCCUGGGUUGGCUGUAUACCCAACAAAUUCUAACAUGAAGUAAAACCACCUCUAUGUAAUAUGUAUAAUUUACUAAAAUCUUAAAAAAUCCCAAUUGAUUGAAUAAAAUAUGUUCAUUCAGAACGUUUUCAGAAUGAUAAUUAAUUAUUUUUUCUUUAGAGUUUAGAGUAGACAAAAUUACAAAAUAAAGUUUGGUUAAGUUCUUGACAGCUAAAUAAAAUAUUUGACAAACAAACUGGAGCAAAAAUGUAGCGGAAUAUAAAGAGCAGUUCAUUCGAUGUAUCAGUAGCGUAAAUUGAUCACUCACCGCUGAACGCACCCAUUAGACUAUUUUUAAAAUUCCCGCUAAAAGGAAAAAGGUAAAUCUGGCAACAGUGCCGUCGUUUGCUGGACAUUUAAUCUCUCCCAAAUUUCGACCAAUCCCGUGCCGAAUUUCAUACAAUUUUCGAUACAAGAACUUGCAUAGUGUCAUACAGGGCACAAAUGUACGUACAAGAAAUGAUACAAGAAAAUGUAUACAAGAAACGAUAUCAGAAACGAUAUUAGAAAUGAUACAAGAAAAUGCAUAGUGUCAUACAGCCUUAACAUAAGAGAUGACCAACUUUCAUCUUUUACAGUGCGUUUCUUCCGUCUGGCCAAUCAUAAGGCAGAAUUUUGUUCUGUCACUCAAAGUGGACCCGCCCCGCCCCCUCAUUCCUUGUGUUGUGUAAAAAGUUGAUUGUCAACAUAUUCGAAUUUUGUUAAUUUGUUAAUACAAUGGAUGUUAAGUUAUUAAUUUAAUAAAAAUAUAUCAUAGAGUCAUUUCAAUAUUUCAGAUAAAUAUGAGUUGUUUAUUAGCCUAAUUCGUGGUUAUCCACACAUAUUAGGUCUGUUCCUUUGUUUUUUAGUGUUACACUUUUGAGUGUAAGUACGAAAUUCUAUGGACAUUUGAGUGUAAAAUGACAGCGGAUGUGACAGCGGCUCAUGACAGCGGACAGUAUUAAACGAAAAUUAUCGGUGUGCCAAUCAAGCAAAGGGACAAGGAACUUCCGAAUAUGGCCUAACCUUAGACAAUUGUCUAAGGGCCUAACUGGGGGCACAUAUCUACAUUCGCUCUCGCGAGAUUUUUUUUGACACUGACGUUAGUAAUUUCUUUUUUGAAAAAUUCAGUUGUCAGAAGUGACUGGAAAUUACUACAAAACCAACGCACCUGCUCAUAUCCAAUAUUAUUAAUAGUAAACAGACAUAAAAAUAACAUAAACCUUACGCCAAUCAAUAUUUAUUUAUUUAAACCAUUAUAAUGUAUUGAUAGCAAAUGAGAAAAUUAUUUAUUGUACAAAAUAAAAAUAUUUUUUAGAAAUAAACUUCACAAAAUUUUAUGAGAUUAGUAGACACUCCCACUAUUUCUAAUAAUUCUUCUUUUUUUAAUGAAAGAUUAAGUUGUUUUGAGUUGAUUUUAGCAGUUAAUAGUGUGAGGUAGGAAUUUUUGUGUUGUACGUUUCCUAUUCCGAAUGUCUCAAAAAAAAUCUCGCGAGAGCGAAUGUAGUAUAACAUAACAUAACCUAAUCCUAAUAUUUACAUUUGUAAAGAAUAGGCCGUUCCAAGAUGCUGUCAAAAUUAAAUCAAUAUGGCUACUGGAAGGCAAACAUUGAAUAUUAUUCUAUCAGGUUCUUAUGGUUUUAGAUCAUUUUCGUUGUUGUACAAAGAUUAAUUUAACAUUUUCUCUGGAAGUAUUAAUUUAGAAAGAUAAUAUGCCUCAUUGGUGUUGUGUUUUGAAGUGUGAAAUGCAAAGUAAUCGUGAUAAAGUUAGCUUUUACCACUUACCAUCAGUGCUACAUUCUAAGCACAAAACUGAACCAAUUUAACUAAAUAAGUUAUAGUUAUCAUCUGAGAGACAACAACAAUGGUAAAAUGCAAUAAAAUAUAAAGAUUUUACUAGCAAAAUGGAAAUUCCCCUGUAAUCAUCUUAUAUCUGGAAAACCAGCCGACUUAACUGAUAAUAACAAUCCAGAUUGGGUUCCUUCAAUAAAUAUGGGGUAUAUAAACACAAUGAAAUGAGUUCCCCAAAAUCUAAAAUGGGAAUUAAGGUACCAAAGGAGAAUUAAAAGAAAAGGGUACCUACAAGAAAAAAUUGCUUUUUUAUUCCUCUUGAAAUGAUUUAUAAGACACUGGACUGUCUUAUAUUCUACAAAUACUAGGUAGGUCUAUGAUUUUACACAUUUUUCAUUAAUGAUACAUUACUGUUACUUUAGUAGAUUUAGAAACAGUGGAUAGUUAGUGGUAGAUAGUAGUUAUUUGGUAUAAAAGCUAGUUUAGUAGAAGACAAGAUUUUGCCAAAUAGUCAAACAUAUAUUACAAUGGAAAAAUUAACAAAUACAUUUUAUGUCAUUAAUAUUAACACAGGAUUUUAAAUAUCAGCUUAAGAAAUUAGCUUUAUCUUGUGAAAGUAUAGAAAAUGAUGAUGCCAAAACUAAAAAUUAUACUGGUUUAGCAAAUUACAAUGUUUUUAAAAUAGCUUUAAAGUAUAUUACACCAUUUAUCAAAUACCAUCAAAAUACUGUUUUGUCACCAAGUGAUCAAGUAUUGCUUACUUUAGCUAAACUAAGCUUAAACUUAGAUUAUAAAGAUUUGGGAUAUAGGUUUAGUAUUUCACCCUACCCGGUAUCAACUUAUUUCAAAAAUACUUUGUAUAUAAUGUGUCUUAGGUUAAAAAAUUUGUGUUCUGGCCUGAUAGAGAUAUUUUAAAGAAAACUAUGCAAAAUUCACUUAAAGAAUCUUUUCAUGGAAAUACUACAGGUAUAAUUGACUUUGGACGAAUGUUUGUAUGAAACGAAUUAUUUAUUGUUCUGAAGCUAGUUAUUUGAGGCAUUUUUGUAAUUAACUAUUCUAAUUGGGAAAUAAGCCACAAUUUAACUUAAAAAAUAAUUUUAUUAAUCUUUCGACUUCCAAAUCAGACGUCAUUGUCAAAAUACAAAAUAUUAUUAUUUAUGCAUAUUAUUACCUGUAAAUAUUUCUUCUGAUUGUUAAUUGUAAAGGAUUGAAAAAUUACCAUUUAUUUUAUUUUUUUUAGAAUCAGCUGAGAGAAGUGGUCUACAAAAACCCAGGAAGGAAACGGAAUAUGUGGCUACGAAAGGCAAAAGAAAGGUUUACAAAGCAAAUGUGACACAUUUUUUUGAAAUAUGUAGGAAUAUCAGUAAAUUGCAUUAAAAAAAUGUAUGAAAAGAUUUUGUUCAAUAAAAAUGUUUAUAUUUA